Long non-coding RNA from Symphalangus syndactylus (siamang), 1269 nucleotides. RefSeq lists it as uncharacterized. NCBI's taxonomy places the organism in Eukaryota, Metazoa, Chordata, Mammalia, Primates, Hylobatidae. The record is from RefSeq and is a predicted model, not a curated record.
CCUGCCCUCACAUUCACACGGUGUCCUCCCCUGCAUGUGUGUCUGUGUCUCUUGUCUUUUUUUUUUUUUUUUUUGAGACGGAGUCUUAUUCUGUCACCCAGGCUGGAGUACAGAGGUGCAAUCUCAGCUCACUGCAACCUCCGCCCCCCCAGGUUCAAUCUCCUGCCUCAGCCUUCUGAAUAGCUGGGAUUACAGGUCACAUUCAUGGUACCAGAGAUGAGAACUUCAACAUUAUCUUUCUGCGGGAUACAACUCAACCCUGAACACCUGCUUACACAGGAAAUGCACAGAGCGCCACAAGACAUCCAGCCACAGGACUGUGGGAAUAAGCCGCCAUUUCCGAACAGAUUAUCUGAAAACAUUCACGGCUGUCUCUGAAGUGCUGAGGACUGGAAAUUCCUGGAGGACAGGGACUAUACCUUCAUCAUCCAGCUUCCCUGGUGCCUAGCAUAAGCCUGUUUACAAGCAUGGAAUCAACAUUAGCUGAAUGGAUGAACAAGUUAUGAGAAGGUUUAGGAUACCAUACAGGAGUAGUUUAAUCAGAGUCCUUGAAGAAGAGGUGAAGCAAUGAACUGAUGCAGAGAAAAGAGCAUCAGGCCAAGGGGCAGCUGACCAAGGCUUUUGGCACAGAUCUGUGGGUUUUACCAAGUCACUUUCACUGGACCCCAGAUUCUUCAUCUAUAAACCAAGAUCAUCUUCCAGGAUCCCAGCAAAAAGGACUCUAUAAGAGUAUGAUGGGGACCACAUCAGUCAAAUCCAGAUAUGUUUCAGACUCAAGCCCCAGCCUAAUUCCAGAUGAAGGGAUUUUCCGAGCAGCUAUCUUGAUCUGGGGGACCUGCCCCUGUUCUGACCAGGGCUGAACGCUUGGCCCAGGAAAAGGACAAGUCCUAGUAUCUAAAAUGAUGACAAAGACAAGGCACAGAGAUGAUGGUGCUGAUGCCACUGGGCACUGGAACCAUCACAUCACAGGGACUGGCACCAACAUCCCAGCAGGGCAAGCCAACGGUGUGAGAAGGCAGGAAUCAAGAUCACACAGAGGGAGCUGGGCUGCAAGGAGGAGGCUGGAACAGAUCCUCAGAGAAAGGCAGAGAUGAGCAUCCACGUGGCCGCAGAGGAACAGAGGAGGCAGUUCCAAUGGCCGUGGACCUGAGAUAUGCUUUGUUGCUCUCUGACACUGCUCCCGCUCCAUGGGACUGGCUGUUAUGUUUUUGGGACAAGUAUCCUUUUACUUAAGCCAACUCGGGUGACUCUCUUGUCCUUGCAACCAAG